Molecule: transfer RNA, 71 nt
Filed under: Candidatus Woesebacteria bacterium RBG_13_34_9
Lineage: Bacteria; Candidatus Woeseibacteriota
Description: tRNA-Ala
Rfam family: tRNA
About the family: Transfer RNA (tRNA) molecules are approximately 80 nucleotides in length. Their secondary structure includes four short double-helical elements and three loops (D, anti-codon, and T loops).
Source: RNAcentral
GGGCCCGUAGUAUACCGGUAACACACUUGGCUGGCAGUCAAGAAUAGGGGGUUCGAUUCCCCCCGGGUCCA